GCAGCAGGCGCGCAAAUUACCCACUCCCGGCACGGGGAGGUAGUGACGAAAAAUAACGAUACGGGACUCAUCCGAGGCCCCGUAAUCGGAAUGAGUACACUUUAAAUCCUUUAACGAGGAUCAAUUGGAGGGCAAGUCUGGUGCCAGCAGCCGCGGUAAUUCCAGCUCCAAUAGCGUAUAUUAAAGUUGUUGCGGUUAAAAAGCUCGUAGUCGAAUUUGUGUCUCGCGCCGCCGGUUCAUCGUUCGCGGUGCCAACUGGCGUGUCGCGAGACGUCCUGCCGGCGGACUUAGCUCGCAAGAGCGGUCCAACUCAAUCCCGCCGCGGUGCUCUUCACUGAGUGUCGAGGUGGGCCGGCACGUUUACUUUGAACAAAUUAGAGUGCUUAAAGCAGGCUAAAAUUUCGCCUGAAUACUGUGUGCAUGGAAUAAUGAAACAGGACCUCGGUUCUAUUUUGUUGGUUUUCGGAACCCCGAGGUAAUGAUUAACAGGAACGGAUGGGGGCAUUCGUAUUGCGACGUUAGAGGUGAAAUUCUUGGAUCGUCGCAAGACGGACAGAAGCGAAAGCAUUUGCCAAAAACGCUUUCAUUGAUCAAGAACGAAAGUUAGAGGUUCGAAGGCGAUCAGAUACCGCCCUAGUUCUAACCAUAAACGAUGCCAGCUAGCGAUCCGCCGACGUUCCUCCGAUGACUCGGCGGGCAGCUUCCGGGAAACCAAAGCUUUUGGGUUCCGGGGGAAGUAUGGUUGCAAAGCUGAAACUUAAAGGAAUUGACGGAAGGGCACCACCAGGAGUGGAGCCUGCGGCUUAAUUUGACUCAACACGGGAAACCUCACCAGGCCCAGACACCGGAAGGAUUGACAGAUUGAGAGCUCUUUCUUGAUUCGGUGGGUGGUGGUGCAUGGCCGU
This 905-nucleotide ribosomal RNA is filed under the name Stethorus punctillum. RNAcentral's name for it is "SSU rRNA". It matches the Rfam family "Eukaryotic small subunit ribosomal RNA", at positions 425 to 1291 of the family's 1831-position model. Lineage: Eukaryota; Metazoa; Arthropoda; Insecta; Coleoptera; Coccinellidae. The record is from RNAcentral.